GGAUUAGGCAUGCAAGUCGAACGAGGGAGUGUUCCGAAAGGGGCACAAACCGAGUGGCGUAAGGGUGAGUAAUGCAUUGAUAACCUACCUUUGAGACGGGGAUAACAACGUUCCGCAAGGGACUCCCGAAAGGGUUGCUAAUACCCGAUAAAACUCAUGGUGCUUCAGUAUCGGGAGUCAAAGGUUUGGGGCUGAAAGGUUCCAUAUGCUCAGAGAGGGGUCAAUGUCCUAUCAGCUAGUUGGCAGGGUAAAGGCCUACCAAGGCGAAGACGGGUAGCCGGCCUGAGAGGGUGGUCGGCCACAUUGGGACUGAGACACUGCCCAGACUCCUACGGGAGGCUGCAGUCGAGAAUCUUUCGCAAUGCCCGAAAGG
This 373-nucleotide ribosomal RNA is filed under the name uncultured bacterium. RNAcentral describes it as "bacterial SSU rRNA". It matches the Rfam family "Bacterial small subunit ribosomal RNA", at positions 46 to 382 of the family's 1533-position model. The record is from RNAcentral.